CUGACCAACAUGGUGAAACCCCAUCUCUACUAAAAAUACAAAAAUUUGCAAGGCGUGGUGGUGGGUGCCUGUAAUGCCAGCUACUUGGGAGGCUGAAGCGGGAGGAUCACUUGAACCCGGAAGGCGGAUGUUCCAGUGAGCCAAGAUCGCACCACUACACUCCAGCCUGGGAGACAGAGUGAGAUAUCAUCUCAAAAAAGAAAAAAAAAAAAGUUUCCCCCAUGUCCCUUCCCAGCAUCUACCCUAGGCAGGUUUGAAGAAUUGAUGUAUUGCCAGCAGAACCCCAGCUGAUGCCCGACCUGCACAUCUCAUCAUUACCCUGUGCAGGCUGCAGAUCAAGCUGCAACAGGCCCGGGUCUCCCUCCUUCUCCAAGUGGCUCCUGGGGCUGGGGUAACCUCCCACACUGGAAGGUAGACUUCGGAAGACCCUUCUGGAAAUGCUCCCAACUUGGGAAAACAGCGCUUCAGACUUCAGACCCAGGAAGAGAUCACCCAGUGCUCCUUUUAUGGGGCAUACAACUGAAGCCAAGAGGUAAACCAGGUCACCCACAAAGCUGGUGGCAAGUCAAGAACUGAGUCUCAGGCCUGGUGCGGUGGCUCAUGCUUGUAAUCCCAGCACUUUGGGAGGCCGAGGUAAAGGAUUACUUGAGCCUAGCAGUUCAAGACCAGCCUGGGCAACAUAGUGAGACCUCAUCUCUACCAAAAAUUUAAAAAAUUAGCUGGCUAUGGUAGCACAUGCCUGUAGUCCCAGCUACUCAGGAGGCUGAAACGGAUCACUUGAGCCUAGGAGUUCAAGUCUGCAAUAAGCUAUAAUGGCACCAUUGCACUCCAGCCUAAGUGACAAAGCCAGACCCUGUCUCAAAAAAAAAAAAAAAAAAAGAACUGAGUCUUGGCCGGGUGUUGUGGCUCACACCUGUAAUCCCAGCACUUUGGGAGGCCAAGGCGGGCGGAUCAUUUGAGGUCAGGAGUUCAAGACCAGCCUGGGCAAUGUUGUAAAACCCCUUCUCUACCCAAAAUACAAAAAUUAGCUGGGCAUGGUGGCACCUGCCCGUAAUCUCAGUUACUUGGGAGGCUGAGGCAGAAGCAUAGCUUGAACUCAGGAGGUGAAAGCUGUGGUGAGCCAAGAUCGCACCACUUCACUACAGCCUGGACGACAAAGCGAGAUUCUGUCUCAAAAAAUAUUUUAGUGUGACAAAAUAUUGCAUGCACACUGGGAAGGACAGCUCCAAUUCAUUCAUUCAAACUCUCUCCCAAAACCCUUUCCAGCAGAACAAUGUCCGUCAGGGCAAAGUGUUGUGGGAUGUCAGGGACUCCCAACAGAGGGACCCGCUGAAGCCAUGGCAGAAGAACAUAAAUUGUGAAGAUUUAAUGGAUAUUUAUUAGUUCCCCAAAUUAAUACUUUUAUAAUUUCUUACGCCUGUCUUUACUGCAAUCUCUGAACAUAAAUUGUGAAGAUUUCAUGGACACUUAUCACUUCCCCAAUCAAUACCCUUGGGAUUUCCUAUGCCUGUCUUUACUUUAAUCUCUUAAUCCUGUCAUCAUAAGCUGAGGAGGAUGUAUGUAGCCUCAGGACCGUGAUGAUUGCAUUAACUGCACAAAUUGUUUGUAGAGCUUGUGUGUUUGAACAAUAUGAAAUCUGGGCACCUUGAAAAAAGAACAGGAUAACAGCAAUGUUCAGGGAACAAAGGAGAUAACUUUAAACUCUGACUGCCCGUGAGCCGGGCAGAACAGAGCCAUAUUUCUCUUCUUUCAAAAGCAAAUGGGAGAAAUAUCGCUGAAUUCUUUUUCUCAGCAAGGAACAUCCCUGAGAAAGAGGAUGCGUCCCUGAGGGAGGCCUCUGAAAUGGCCACUUUGGGGACAGCUGUCUUUUACGGUCAUCGCUGAGGGAUGAAAUAAGCCCCGGUCUCCUGUAGCGCUCCCAGGCUUAUUAGGACGAGGAAAUUCCCGCCUAAUAAAUUUUGGUCAGACCGGUUGUCUGUUCUCAAACCCUGUCUCCUGAUAAGAUAUCAUCAAUGACAAUGUGUGUCUGAAACUUCAUUAGCAAUUUUAAUUUCGCCCCGGUCCUGUGGUCCUGUGGUCUUGCCCUGCCUCCAUUUGCCUUGUGAUAUCUUAUUACCUUGUGAAGCACAUGAUCUCUGUGACCCACACCCUAUUCGUACACUCCCUCCCCUUUUGAAAAUCACUAAUAAAAACUCGCUGGUUUUGCGGCUUGGGGGACAUCAUGGAACCUGCCGACAUGUGAUGUCUCCCCCGGACACCCAGCUUUAAAAUUUCUCUCUUUUGUACUCUGUCCCUUUAUUUCUCGGACCAGCCAACACUUAAGGAAAAUAGAGAAGAACCUACGUGAAAUGUCGGGGGUGAAUUUUGCCUGAUAGUAAAGGUUCCCAAGUUGGCUGACUGGGGCCUUAGCUUCUCAAAAGGGGAAGACCAUGAGACUGGGAUGCCCA
This 2447-nucleotide long non-coding RNA is filed under the name Homo sapiens (human). RNAcentral describes it as "HSALNT0240676". The record is from RNAcentral. Lineage: Eukaryota; Metazoa; Chordata; Mammalia; Primates; Hominidae.